AAGAGUAUAGUUUAAUGGUAAAAUAGAAAGUUCCAAACUUUAAGUUUUCAGUUCAACCCUGAAUAC
Molecule: transfer RNA, 66 nt
Filed under: Leptogium corticola
Lineage: Eukaryota; Fungi; Ascomycota; Lecanoromycetes; Peltigerales; Collemataceae
Description: tRNA-Trp
Rfam family: tRNA
About the family: Transfer RNA (tRNA) molecules are approximately 80 nucleotides in length. Their secondary structure includes four short double-helical elements and three loops (D, anti-codon, and T loops).
Source: RNAcentral